This 72-nucleotide transfer RNA is filed under the name Salmo salar (Atlantic salmon). It matches the Rfam family "tRNA". From Rfam's summary of the family: Transfer RNA (tRNA) molecules are approximately 80 nucleotides in length. Their secondary structure includes four short double-helical elements and three loops (D, anti-codon, and T loops). Lineage: Eukaryota; Metazoa; Chordata; Actinopteri; Salmoniformes; Salmonidae. The record is from Rfam by way of RNAcentral.
UCCCCUGUGGCUCAGUUGGUAGAGUAUGGUGUUUGCAACGCCAGGGUUCUGGGUUUGAUUCCCACGGGGGAC